RNAcentral lists this unclassified non-coding RNA (299 nucleotides) under Basidiomycota sp. Its description in RNAcentral is "partial contains small subunit ribosomal RNA, internal transcribed spacer 1, and 5.8S ribosomal RNA". The stretch from base 1 to 47 matches the Rfam family "Eukaryotic small subunit ribosomal RNA", at positions 1785 to 1831 of the family's 1831-position model. The record is from RNAcentral. Lineage: Eukaryota; Fungi; Basidiomycota.
AAAGUCGUAACAAGGUCUCCGUAGGUGAACCUGCGGAGGGAUCAUUAUUGAAACUUGGAUUCAACCAAGAGAAGGGGGAUUGGAGGGGGAUGAAGGAGUGCUUUCCUGGUGCUCUUGAUUCUUUUCUCUGUCUCUUUUUCUCUUGGACAACCAAACAACACACAUCACUAUGAAAAAUAACACACACAGAGGGUUGAUUUGGACUGCGCUCUCUGGAAAAGUUCUUGUCUGAUAAGUAGCUUGCUGAUUUGGAGUUACUAUAAUCAAUACAACUUUCAACAACGGAUCUCUUGGCUCUC